This 525-nucleotide ribosomal RNA is filed under the name Catenulispora pinistramenti. RNAcentral's name for it is "Catenulispora sp. NL8 partial 23S ribosomal RNA". It matches the Rfam family "Bacterial large subunit ribosomal RNA", at positions 1 to 479 of the family's 2925-position model. Lineage: Bacteria; Bacillati; Actinomycetota; Actinomycetes; Catenulisporales; Catenulisporaceae. The record is from RNAcentral.
GGCCAAGUUUUUAAGGGCGCACGGUGGAUGCCUUGGCACCAGGAGCCGAUGAAGGACGUGGUAGGCCGCGAAAGGCCUCGGGGAGCUGUCAAACGAGCUGUGAUCCGAGGGUGUCCGAAUGGGGAAACCCGGCCGUAUGUGAGUGCGGUCACCCACGCCUGAAUAUAUAGGGCGUGUGGAGGGAACGACGGGAAGUGAAACAUCUCAGUACCGUCAGGAAGAGAAAACAACAGUGAUUCCGGGAGUAGUGGCGAGCGAAACCGGAAGAGGCUAAACCGUUUGCGUGUGAUACCCGGCAGGGGUUGCGCAGGCGGGGUCGUGGGACUUCUCAGUCAGAUCUGCCGGUCUGGCACAGAGUAAGAAACCAGUUGUGUAGUCGAAGGCGAUGCGAAAGCGCUGGCAUAGUGGGUAAAACCCCCGUAGACGAAACAUGACUGGCUCUGGAGGAGUAUCCCAAGUAGCACGGGGCCCGAGAAAUCCCGUGUGAAUCUGGCGGGACCACCCGCUAAGCCUGAAUACUCCCUG